GAAUGCUGACAUAAGUAACGAUAAAGCGGGUGAAAAGCCCGCUCGCCGGAAGACCAAGGGUUCCUGUCCAACGUUAAUCGGGGCAGGGUGAGUCGACCCCUAAGGCGAGGCCGAAAGGCGUAGUCGAUGGGAAACAGGUUAAUAUUCCUGUACUUGGUGUUACUGCGAAGGGGGGACGGAGAAGGCUAUGUUGGCCGGGCGACGGUUGUCCCGGUUUAAGCGUGUAGGCUGGUUUUCCAGGCAAAUCCGGAAAAUCAAGGCUGAGGCGUGAUGACGAGGCACUACGGUGCUGAAGCGACAAAUGCCCUGCUUCCAGGAAAAGCCUCUAAGCAUCAGGUAACAUCAAAUCGUACCCCAAACCGACACAGGUGGUCAGGUAGAGAAUACCAAGGCGCUUGAGAGAACUCGGGUGAAGGAACUAGGCAAAAUGGUGCCGUAACUUCGGGAGAAGGCACGCUGAUAUGUAGGUGAAGCGACUUGCUCGUGGAGCUGAAAUCAGUCGAAGAUACCAGCUGGCUGCAACUGUUUAUUAAAAACACAGCACUGUGCAAACACGAAAGUGGACGUAUACGGUGUGACGCCUGCCCGGUGCCGGAAGGUUAAUUGAUGGGGUUAGCGGUAACGCGAAGCUCUUGAUCGAAGCCCCGGUAAACGGCGGCCGUAACUAUAACGGUCCUAAGGUAGCGAAAUUCCUUGUCGGGUAAGUUCCGACCUGCACGAAUGGCGUAAUGAUGGCCAGGCUGUCUCCACCCGAGACUCAGUGAAAUUGAACUCGCUGUGAAGAUGCAGUGUACCCGCGGCAAGACGGAAAGACCCCGUGAACCUUUACUAUAGCUUGACACUGAACAUUGAGCCUUGAUGUGUAGGAUAGGUGGGAGGCUUUGAAGUGUGGACGCCAGUCUGCAUGGAGCCGACCUUGAAAUACCACCCUUUAAUGUUUGAUGUUCUAACGUGGGCCCCUUACCGGGGUUGCGGACAGUGUCUGGUGGGUAGUUUGACUGGGGCGGUCUCCUCCUAAAGAGUAACGGAGGAGCACGAAGGUUGGCUAAUCCUGGUCGGACAUCAGGAGGUUAGUGCAAUGGCAUAAGCCAGCUUGACUGCGAGCGUGACGGCGCGAGCAGGUGCGAAAGCAGGUCAUAGUGAUCCGGUGGUUCUGAAUGGAAGGGCCAUCGCUCAACGGAUAAAAGGUACUCCGGGGAUAACAGGCUGAUACCGCCCAAGAGUUCAUAUCGACGGCGGUGUUUGGCACCUCGAUGUCGGCUCAUCACAUCCUGGGGCUGAAGUAGGUCCCAAGGGUAUGGCUGUUCGCCAUUUAAAGUGGUACGCGAGCUGGGUUUAGAACGUCGUGAGACAGUUCGGUCCCUAUCUGCCGUGGGCGCUGGAGAACUGAGGGGGGCUGCUCCUAGUACGAGAGGACCGGAGUGGACGCAUCACUGGUGUUCGGGUUGUCAUGCCAAUGGCACUGCCCGGUAGCUAAAUGCGGAAGAGAUAAGUGCUGAAAGCAUCUAAGCACGAAACUUGCCCCGAGAUGAGUUCUCCCUGACUCCUUGAGAGUCCUGAAGGAACGUUGAA
RNAcentral lists this ribosomal RNA (1572 nucleotides) under Escherichia coli. RNAcentral's name for it is "partial 23S ribosomal RNA". It matches the Rfam family "Bacterial large subunit ribosomal RNA", at positions 1292 to 2842 of the family's 2925-position model. RNAcentral also lists the same sequence under 1 other name. Lineage: Bacteria; Pseudomonadati; Pseudomonadota; Gammaproteobacteria; Enterobacterales; Enterobacteriaceae. The record is from RNAcentral.